AGUAUACUUGUUGCUAGCUCUUAUUAUUUGAUAAAGUUUUGUACUUGCAUCUUUUUUUUCAGUCACCGGAAGUUGGAAUUUCGUUUGUGAUAGGAUCUAAACAAGUAUCAAAGUCUACAAAUGCUGGAUUAAGCAAGUUAAAGCCUUUGUGAUUCCCCUGUAUCUUCAACAACGUCGUCUUCAAAACUUUAUCCAAAGACAUCUGUGGAUAGCCAUAACAAGCCACAGUUACAUUAUACAGGAAAGAACCUCAUUGACCUGACAGGUUCUGAGAGCUCAAAGGCUGAAACCAGUGGUUUAAGGCGCAAGGAAAGGUCUUAUAUAAAUAAAGCUUUGCUGACUUUAGGGACUGUGAGUUCUUGGUUAUCAUUGUUUUCCCCCAAGCGACAAUAGUUUUUCG
RNAcentral lists this unclassified non-coding RNA (400 nucleotides) under Arabidopsis thaliana (thale cress). The record is from RNAcentral. Lineage: Eukaryota; Viridiplantae; Streptophyta; Magnoliopsida; Brassicales; Brassicaceae.